GCGGAUGGUAGCAAUCAGAAGCCAUCUGGCUACCGCCCUUGCCAAGGUUGGGGUCGAGCGUUCGAAUCGCUUCACCCGCUCCA
RNAcentral lists this transfer RNA (83 nucleotides) under Mesorhizobium neociceri. RNAcentral's name for it is "Mesorhizobium sp. CCANP35 tRNA-Ser". The record is from RNAcentral. RNAcentral also lists the same sequence under 1 other name. Lineage: Bacteria; Pseudomonadati; Pseudomonadota; Alphaproteobacteria; Hyphomicrobiales; Phyllobacteriaceae.